This 288-nucleotide unclassified non-coding RNA is filed under the name Hevea brasiliensis (rubber tree). The record is from RNAcentral. Lineage: Eukaryota; Viridiplantae; Streptophyta; Magnoliopsida; Malpighiales; Euphorbiaceae.
GCAGUAGUUAAUGUUACCCUAUUUCUGAAUUAAAUGGGUUAAAAAAUUUUAAAAUUCUUCAUAUGACCCCUUUUGGUCCCUAAGCAGGCUUCAAGGAAUAUGGUUAUUAUGAGGUUAAUGGAUGUAAAUAGUUAGCCUUUGUUAACUUAUUUACUUGUAAAAUAAACUCCAAGGUGAGAUUAGGAGGUUAAUGCUUGUUUACAUUACACCUUUUAAUAUCUUCCAAAUGAUUAUUAGAUUACUGAUGGAUUCAUUUUUUUUCCUGCAAUCUGUAAAAUAAAGAUCUGU